Molecule: ribosomal RNA, 300 nt
Filed under: Synechococcus sp. WH 8109
Lineage: Bacteria; Bacillati; Cyanobacteriota; Cyanophyceae; Synechococcales; Synechococcaceae
Description: partial 16S ribosomal RNA
Rfam family: Bacterial small subunit ribosomal RNA
Source: RNAcentral
ACGGACAAAGGGCUGCAAGUUCGCGAGGACAAGCAAAUCCCAUAAACCGUGGCUCAGUUCAGAUCGUAGGCUGCAACUCGCCUACGUGAAGGCGGAAUCGCUAGUAAUCGCAGGUCAGCAUACUGCGGUGAAUACGUUCCCGGGCCUUGUACACACCGCCCGUCACACCAUGGAAGUUGGCCACGCCCGAAGCCGUUACUCCAACCCUUGUGGAGGAGGACGUCGAAGGUGGGGCUGAUGACUGGGGUGAAGUCGUAACAAGGUAUCCGUACCGGAAGGUGCGGAUGGAUCACCUCCUAA